GACGAACGCUGGCGGCGUGCUUAACACAUGCAAGUCGUACGGAAAGGCCCUUCUUUUGUUGGGUGCUCGAGUGGCGAACGGGUGAGUAACACGUGAGUAACCUGCCCUUUACUUUUGGAUAACUUCAGGAAACUGUGGCUAAUACUGGAUAGUACCUCCUGCUGCAUGGUGGGGGUUGGAACGUUUCGGCGGUUGGGGAUGGACUCGCGGCUUAUCAGCUUGUUGGUGGGGUAGUGGCUUACCAAGGCUUUGACGGGUAGCCGGCCUGAGAGGGUGACCGGCCACAUUGGGACUGAGAUACGGCCCAGACUCCUACGGGAGGCAGCAGUGGGGAAUAUUGAAAAAUGGGCGGAAGCCUGAUGCAGCAACGCGGGGGGCGGGAGAACGGCCUUCGGGUGUAAAACCGCUUUCGCAGGUGACGAAGCGUGAGUGACGGUAAUGGGUAAAGAAGCACCGGCUAACUACGUG
This 468-nucleotide ribosomal RNA is filed under the name uncultured bacterium. Its description in RNAcentral is "partial 16S ribosomal RNA". It matches the Rfam family "Bacterial small subunit ribosomal RNA", at positions 28 to 507 of the family's 1533-position model. The record is from RNAcentral.